AUUGAACGCUGGCGGCGUGCUUAACACAUGCAAGUCGAUCGGUAACAGGUGUAGCAAUACAUGCUGACGAGAGGCGGACGGGUGAGUAAUGCUUGGGAAUCUGCCUAUUAGUGGGGGACAACCCGGGGAAACUCGGGCUAAUACCGCAUACGCUCUACGGAGGAAAGCCGGGGACCGCAAGGCCUGGCGCUAAUAGAUGAGCCCAAGUCGGAUUAGCUAGUUGGUAGGGUAACGGCCUACCAAGGCGACAAUCCGUAGCUGGUCUGAGAGGACGACCAGCCACACCGGAACUGAGACACGGUCCGGACUCCUACGGGAGGCAGCAGUGGGGAAUAUUGGACAAUGGGGGCAACCCUGAUCCAGCGACGCCGCGUGGGUGAAGAAGGCCUGCGGGUUGUAAAGCCCUUUCGGUGGGAAGAAAAGUCUCGACCUAAUACGUCGGGACCUUGACGUAACCCACUAAAGAAGCACCGGCU
This 476-nucleotide ribosomal RNA is filed under the name uncultured bacterium. Its description in RNAcentral is "bacterial SSU rRNA". It matches the Rfam family "Bacterial small subunit ribosomal RNA", at positions 29 to 498 of the family's 1533-position model. The record is from RNAcentral.